RNAcentral lists this ribosomal RNA (373 nucleotides) under uncultured organism. Its description in RNAcentral is "partial 16S ribosomal RNA". It matches the Rfam family "Bacterial small subunit ribosomal RNA", at positions 527 to 896 of the family's 1533-position model. The record is from RNAcentral.
GUAGGUGGCAAGCGUUGUCCGGAAUUAUUGGGCGUAAAGCGCGCGCAGGCGGUUCUUUAAGUCUGAUGUGAAAGCCCACGGCUCAACCGUGGAGGGUCAUUGGAAACUGGAGAACUUGAGUACAGAAGAGGAAAGCGGAAUUCCACGUGUAGCGGUGAAAUGCGUAGAGAUGUGGAGGAACACCAGUGGCGAAGGCGGCUUUCUGGUCUGUAACUGACGCUGAGGCGCGAAAGCGUGGGGAGCAAACAGGAUUAGAUACCCUGGUAGUCCACGCCGUAAACGAUGAGUGCUAAGUGUUAGGGGGGUUUCCGCCCCCCUUAGUGCUGCAGCUAACGCAUUAAGCACUCUGCCUGGGAGUACGGCCGCAAGGCUG